Molecule: non-coding RNA, 551 nt
Organism: Paramuricea clavata
Lineage: Eukaryota; Metazoa; Cnidaria; Anthozoa; Malacalcyonacea; Plexauridae
Source: the annotation of a GenBank genome assembly
GCUCGGACAUCCUUUGUGAAUGGCCCCUUAGCAGUUUCACUCGAGUCAAGUCGAAUCAUUGGUUUAAGUCGAGUCGAAUCAAUAACUAGACUUAACUUGAGUCAGGGAAUUUGAUCAAGUCCACCCCAUCCUUGUCCCCAGGGCCUCUCGGCCGCGCGCGUCCUCCCUAGGCCCUGGAACAUACGGAACCGGAAGUGCAAGUAAACUUGCAGUAGUUUCUAAAGCGCAUGGUCUUGAAUUGGGACACUUUAGCACCCGUAACAAUUUUCAAAGUGAAGUAUUACGAAGAAACGAUGUAUUUGCGUUGACAUAUGUUGAUAGAAUAAUUUUUCCUAGCUAAAAUUGCUCAACUUCUGCGAAAUAGGAUUUCUCUGAGAAGCCAAUCAGAUCUCUCGCUUUAGUCGCCUAACCCACAACCUACUUUUCAACGAGUUGCCGAUUGAAAAUGGCUCUGGGGACGAGAAUGGUCCACCUCACGCUUUUUGUAAUGGUUCGCUACCAUAGCUUGCAGUUUGAAAUUAGUAAUCAAAUCCUACGUUUUAAGCUAAUCA